Molecule: ribosomal RNA, 200 nt
Filed under: uncultured bacterium
Lineage: Bacteria
Description: partial 16S ribosomal RNA
Rfam family: Bacterial small subunit ribosomal RNA
Source: RNAcentral
CGUAAGAAUCUACCUACAGACUCGGGACAACAGUUAGAAAUGACUGCUAAUACCGGAUAUGCCUUCGGGUGAAAGAUUUAUCAUCUGUAGAUGAGCUUGCGUCCGAUUAGCUAGAUGGUGAGGUAAUGGCUCACCAUGGCGACGAUCGGUAGCUGGUCUGAGAGGAUGACCAGUCACACUGGGACUGAGACACGGCCCAG